This 301-nucleotide ribosomal RNA is filed under the name uncultured bacterium. RNAcentral's name for it is "partial 16S ribosomal RNA". It matches the Rfam family "Bacterial small subunit ribosomal RNA", at positions 509 to 807 of the family's 1533-position model. The record is from RNAcentral.
CAGUCGCCGCGGGAAAACGAAGGGGGCUAGCGUUGUUCGGAUUUACUGGGCGUAAAGCGCACGUAGGCGGAUCGAUCAGUCAGGGGUGAAAUCCUGGAGCUCAACUCCAGAACUGCCUUUGAUACUGUCGAUCUCGAGUCCGGAAGAGGUGAGUGGAACUCCUAGUGUAGAGGUGGAAUUCGUAGAUAUUAGGAAGAACACCAGUGGCGAAGGCGGCUCACUGGUCCGGUACUGACGCUGAGGUGCGAAAGCGUGGGGAGCAAACAGGAUUAGAUACCCCCGUAGUCCCUGUCUCUUAUAC